GAUGAACGCUGGCGGCGUGCCUAAUACAUGCAAGUAGAACGCUGAAGGAGGAGCUUGCUCUUCUGGAUGAGUUGCGAACGGGUGAGUAACGCGUAGGUAACCUGCCUGGUAGCGGGGGAUAACUAUUGGAAACGAUAGCUAAUACCGCAUGACAACAGUUAUUGCAUGAUAACUGUUUAAAAGGGGCAACUGCUCCACUACCAGAUGGACCUGCGUUGUAUUAGCUAGUUGGUGAGGUAACGGCUCACCAAGGCGACGAUACAUAGCCGACCUGAGAGGGUGGUCGGCCAAACUGGGACUGGGACACGGCCCAGAAUCCUACGGGAGGCAGCAGUAGGGAAUGUUCGGCAAUGGACGGAAGUCUGACCGGGCAACGCCGGGUGAGUGAAGAAGGCUUUCGGAUCGUAAAGCUCUGUUGUAAGAGAAGAACGAGUGUGAGAGUGGAAAGUUCACACUGUGACGGUAUCUUACCAGAAAGGGACGGCUAACUACGUG
This 495-nucleotide ribosomal RNA is filed under the name uncultured bacterium. RNAcentral describes it as "partial 16S ribosomal RNA". It matches the Rfam family "Bacterial small subunit ribosomal RNA", at positions 28 to 507 of the family's 1533-position model. The record is from RNAcentral.